This is a long non-coding RNA of Rosa rugosa (rugosa rose), 543 nucleotides long. RefSeq lists it as uncharacterized. The transcript is spliced from 4 exons. NCBI's taxonomy places the organism in Eukaryota, Viridiplantae, Streptophyta, Magnoliopsida, Rosales, Rosaceae. The record is from RefSeq and is a predicted model, not a curated record.
GGAGUAGUUGGAAAGAGAAUUGAUCUCACCGCACCCCCGCCGUCCUCGAAGCUCGGCCACCUCUCCGACUCCUUCAAGCUCGAGCACCAGUUCCUCUGAGUCCCCUUCGAGCACUACAAGAAGACGAUCCGCGCCAACCACCGCAUCACCGAGAAGGAGAUGUCCGCCGUCAUCAACGACGCCGUCAGUCACCUCAAUUCCCUCGUCUCCAGGCUCCAAGGCCUCAAACGAAAGGAAGAGGGGAGCAAGACUGAGCACUUACAGGUGCAGAGGUGCCGGGCGAGGCUGGACCAUUUAGAAUGAGCAGAUGUGGAGAAUUUGUCAGAAUGGAACAAUGUGAGGUUGAACCGGAUCCUUGUGGACUAUAUGUUGAGGAUGUCUUAUUAUGAUAAUGCGGUGAGGUGAAGAUGGCCGAAAGCCAAAAUAUUCAGGAACUGCAGUUUGGAGCCACUGCCUCAAAAGUUUUAUGAGUCAUAUUUGAAGAGGUGCCUUAGUUUACAGUUCAACUCUCACUGAAAGAGUGUUCAUUCUGGUUGAAGGGUA